GACGAACCGUGCGAACGUUGUUCGGAAUCACUGGGCUUAAAGGGCGCGUAGGCGGGCCGGCCAGCCCGGGGUGAAAGCCCCCCGCUCAACGGGGGAAGUGCCCCGGGGACGACCGGCCUCGAGGGGGGUAGGGGCGUGCGGAACUUCCGGUGGAGCGGUGAAAUGCGUAGAGAUCGGAAGGAACGCCGGUGGCGAAAGCGGCACGCUGGACCCCAUCUGACGCUGAGGCGCGAAAGCCAGGGGAGCGAACGGG
This 253-nucleotide ribosomal RNA is filed under the name uncultured Isosphaera sp. RNAcentral describes it as "partial 16S ribosomal RNA". It matches the Rfam family "Bacterial small subunit ribosomal RNA", at positions 524 to 776 of the family's 1533-position model. The record is from RNAcentral. Lineage: Bacteria; Pseudomonadati; Planctomycetota; Planctomycetia; Isosphaerales; Isosphaeraceae.